AUGCAGUCGUGCGAGAUCUCCUUUCGGGGAGAGGACAGCGGCGAAAGGGAGAGUAACGCGUGGUUACAUACCCUCGGGACCGGGAUAGUAGCGGGAAACUGCUAGUAAUACCGGAUAAUAUCUUUGGAUCAAAGGUGUGAUUCCGCCCGAGGAUUGGACCGCGUUCUAUUAGCUUGUUGGCGGGGUAAUGGCCCACCAAGGCGACGAUGGAUACCGGGUGUGAGAGCAUGGCCCGGCUCACUGGGACUGAGACACUGCCUAGACACCUACGGGUGGCUGCAGUCGAGAAUCUUCGGCAAUGGGGGCAACCCUGACCGAGCGACGCCGCGUGCGGGAUGAAGGCCUUCGGGUUGUAAACCGCUGUCAGUUGGGAGGAAGUAUUAGGGGGUUAUCCCCCUAGUUUGACCGAUCUGCAGAGGAAGGACGGGCUAAGUUCGUGCCAGCAGCCGCGGUAAGACGAACCGUCCGAACGUUAUUCGGUAUCACUGGGCUUAAAGCGUGCGUAGGCGGCCUGGUAGGUGGGAUGUGAAAGCCCACGGCUCAACCGUGGAAUUGCGUUUCAAACCACCAGGCUUGAGGACGGCAGGGGUGAUGGGAACUGAUGGUGGAGCGGUGAAAUGCGUUUACUAUCAUCAGGAACACCGGUGGCGAAUGCGCAUCACUGGGCCAUUUCUGACGCUGAGGCACGAAAGCUAGGGUAGCGAACGGGAUUAGAUACCCCGGUAGUCCUAGCUGUAGACGAUGAGCACUAGUUGAGGGACUUCCACAUCUUCUCGCCGU
This 780-nucleotide ribosomal RNA is filed under the name uncultured bacterium. Its description in RNAcentral is "bacterial SSU rRNA". It matches the Rfam family "Bacterial small subunit ribosomal RNA", at positions 55 to 849 of the family's 1533-position model. The record is from RNAcentral.